This 439-nucleotide long non-coding RNA is filed under the name Rhinopithecus roxellana (golden snub-nosed monkey). RNAcentral describes it as "lncRNA (ENSRROG00000046072.1)". The record is from RNAcentral. Lineage: Eukaryota; Metazoa; Chordata; Mammalia; Primates; Cercopithecidae.
CUUUUUUUUUACCCAGUUCCUGGUUCCUUUAGAUGCACGAACAGUAACAGUCUGCUGAGUUAUGUGAAGGAUGUUGUGUAUCACUGCCACCAGCGUUUCUAAAGCUCCCGCUCUUCACAUUCUCUGUCCCAGAAGGGACUCUCAAUGCUGAAGGUGUGAAUCAUGGCAAUACAGUGAAAGACGGUGAUGUACUGCUUUUGAGGGCAUGCAUGUAUAUGAUUAACGGAUGGAAGUGCAGGACUCCAAGAUUUACUUCUUUCCCUUUCCAGCAGAGUUACCUGAGAGGAGUAAAAUCUGCUGGUGGAGUCACUCCAUUAUUCUUAUCUGUGGAGAUCUAGAUCUUGAUUUGAAAGUUUCUGAGAAAAUCUUCAGCUCAGACUUGAGGUCAACUUUACCAACUGAAGGAACUGCAUUUACUGCUCAACCACAUCUAAUUUGA